GCGAGAAAACUUUGCAAUGUGCGAAAGCACGACAAGGUUAAUCCGAGUGGUUUCUGCUAAAGGAACCUUUUGUCGGUCCUAGAAACACCGAUGAAUAAGGGGUGGGCAAGUUCUGGUGUCAGCCGCCGCGGUAAAACCAGCACCUCAAGUGGUCAGGAUGAUUAUUGGGCCUAAAGCAUCCGUAGCCGGCUCUGUAAGUUUCCGGUUAAAUCCAUUAGCUCAACUGAUGGGCCGCCGGAAAAACUGCAAAGCUAGGGAGUGGGAGAGGUAGACGGUACUCGGUAGGAAGGGGUAAAAUCCCUUGAUCUAUUGAUGACCACCUGUGGCGAAGGCGGUCUACCAGAACACGUCCGACGGUGAGGGAUGAAAGCUGGGGGAGCAACCCGGGAUUAGAUACCCGGGUAGUCCCAGCUGUAAACCAUGCAACUCAGUGAUGCAUUGGCUUGUGGCCAAUGCAGUGCUGCAGGGAAGCCGUUAAGUUU
RNAcentral lists this ribosomal RNA (482 nucleotides) under uncultured Nitrososphaerota archaeon. Its description in RNAcentral is "bacterial SSU rRNA". It matches the Rfam family "Archaeal small subunit ribosomal RNA", at positions 339 to 822 of the family's 1478-position model. Lineage: Archaea; Thermoproteati; Nitrososphaerota. The record is from RNAcentral.